Molecule: ribosomal RNA, 465 nt
Filed under: uncultured Klebsiella sp.
Lineage: Bacteria; Pseudomonadati; Pseudomonadota; Gammaproteobacteria; Enterobacterales; Enterobacteriaceae
Description: bacterial SSU rRNA
Rfam family: Bacterial small subunit ribosomal RNA
Source: RNAcentral
CCUACGGGAGGCAGCAGUGGGGAAUAUUGCACAAUGGGCGCAAGCCUGAUGCAGCCAUGCCGCGUGUGUGAAGAAGGCCUUCGGGUUGUAAAGCACUUUCAGCGGGGAGGAAGGCGGUGAGGUUAAUAACCUCAUCGAUUGACGUUACCCGCAGAAGAAGCACCGGCUAACUCCGUGCCAGCAGCCGCGGUAAUACGGAGGGUGCAAGCGUUAAUCGGAAUUACUGGGCGUAAAGCGCACGCAGGCGGUCUGUCAAGUCGGAUGUGAAAUCCCCGGGCUCAACCUGGGAACUGCAUUCGAAACUGGCAGGCUAGAGCCUUGUAGAGGGGGGUAGAAUUCCAGGUGUAGCGGUGAAAUGCGUAGAGAUCUGGAGGAAUACCGGUGGCGAAGGCGGCCCCCUGGACAAAGACUGACGCUCAGGUGCGAAAGCGUGGGGAGCAGACAGGAUUAGAUACCCGGGUAGUC